This 76-nucleotide transfer RNA is filed under the name Methanocella sp. PtaU1.Bin125. RNAcentral's name for it is "tRNA-Arg". It matches the Rfam family "tRNA". Rfam says of the family: Transfer RNA (tRNA) molecules are approximately 80 nucleotides in length. Their secondary structure includes four short double-helical elements and three loops (D, anti-codon, and T loops). The record is from RNAcentral. Lineage: Archaea; Methanobacteriati; Methanobacteriota; Methanomicrobia; Methanocellales; Methanocellaceae.
GGGCUCGUGGCUUAGUCUGGACAUAGCACCGGCCUUCUAAGCCGGGGGUCGUGGGUUCGAAUCCCACCGGGCCCGC